AGGGUGGUGGAGGAUGAAGGGCACUCGGAAGAGGGGCGGAUCGGAGAUACUCUUUUGCCUCCUGCUGCCAGAAGGUCCCCCCGGGAGCCGAGCAGUCGAGCAGUGCUUACCUUGUUCCCUUGGAGCAGGUGUCCCAACACCCUCUUUAACGGAGUAGAAAAAUUGUGGCCAGGAGAUAAGCCUGCCGGGAACUCAUCCUGAUCCUAAACAAGAAGGAGCCACUUUGCUUAGUCAGGACUGGGUGAGGCGCUUUUGCAGAAGCCCCAGAAAUAACCCUCAUCAGCUGCUCCUUUGGUGGUGGCCCCCAUGCCACUGGCAGGCUUCCAGCAACUGAGUUAAGCGGGCCUGGUGAUCACCAAGAGAGCUGCCUUCGAGGGCCCAGUGCUGCAAGGAAGUGUCUCGACGCCCCCUGGUGGCACCGCGAGGCACAGCGCAGCCACCCGAUAGGAGAAGGCGGCAGCGGGAAGCAGAAGCGGGGGAGGGCGGUGCGGUCGCUCACCCUGGACGGCCACGCCCACAGCGCCCGCACCUUCCCAGCAAGGCAGCGUCCUGUAAUCUCGUGCAAUGCUUUCGCGGCUCUGCAUUCCUGGCCCUACGGGGAGUUGAUGAAGUUGGAUUCUACACGGCCGGGCAGAGCAGCUUUGAUCCCUUAACGGGAUCUUCAGACGGCCAGCGCAAGGUGACUCGCAGCCGGACCCGCGGGCCACGUGCGCGCCUAAGGGACGGGGAAGCGGCAUGGCGGGGCUGAAGACAGCGCAGGGUUUGUGCCUUUUGUCGCCACCAGACCAGCAGAAGCAGCAGAACAGAAGGGAAGCAACGGCUUCUCCAGGCCGCCAGCUUCCAAACGGUUUGCGUUCCACCUCCUUCGCGAGGGUCUCUGGCUGGCUACCAGCAGCUGAACUGCAUCUCCCCGCCAGCAGCACCCCCUCCGAUCAUCAGGCGCCCCAGCUGAGCACGGAGCCGUCUGGAGCAGAGGGGCAGAACCCUGGCGCCGCAAAGCGACCCAAGGCUGGUCCGGGAGGGCUUUUGGCCAGGGAGGGCACGGGAGACGCCCGUGUCUCCCCAAGCCAAAAUACGCACUCCCUGGGGCCAGCUGUCUUCUUCAGGAACCUGAGCGGGAAAGGAGCCCCGAAGCGUUCUUAAGAAUCAUAGAAUCAUAGAGUUGGAAGGGACCUCCAGGGUCAUCGAGUCCAACCCCCUGCUCAAUGCAGGAUUCACUAAAGCAUCCCAGACAGAUAACUGUCCAGCCUCUCCUUGAAGACCUCCAGCGAAGGAGAGCCCACCACCUCCUGUGGCAACCUGUUCCAAUGGUCCUUGCCCUUAUGGUCAGAAAGUUUUUCCUAAUAUCUAGCCUGUAUCUACUCCCUUGAAGUUUCAUCCCAUUGUUUCUAAUCUAGUUCUUGCUCUUCCCUGGCACUCGUGACGACCACGACUGACCGCAGCAGGACGCACUUGCUGCCAUUGCACCUCACCCCAGUGUCCACUGCGUGAUCAUAGGAGCGCCCCACAUCGCGGGGAGUUUUGCCACUGGUUAUGCCUUUUCGCUUUAUUCCUGAGUGGUCAAAAUGGAGGCCCAAGUCCAGCCAAAGAGGGGUGAGCAGCUGGAGCAUGGGAAGCCCAUCGGCGUGAGGGUGAGUGAGAAGGGGCCGCCUCCGGGGAAGGAUGCGAGGGCUUUGGCGCCCAGCCCUGCCACGGGCGAUGCCCUCUCCUCUGCCACUCUGAUCCCCGGAAAUGGCUGCAAGGCGUGUCGGCGCGCGUCUCCCGGGACGGCCUCUGGCUUUCAAGACCCGGGGGGGGGCUGGCGCGCUGCUUGCCCCAGACAGAGCCCCACUCUGGGAGGAGU
Molecule: long non-coding RNA, 1843 nt
Organism: Salvator merianae (Argentine black and white tegu)
Lineage: Eukaryota; Metazoa; Chordata; Lepidosauria; Squamata; Teiidae
Source: Ensembl